This 606-nucleotide long non-coding RNA is filed under the name Cyanistes caeruleus (blue tit). RNAcentral's name for it is "lncRNA (ENSCCEG00000022709.1)". Lineage: Eukaryota; Metazoa; Chordata; Aves; Passeriformes; Paridae. The record is from RNAcentral.
AUGCAAAUGAAUCAUUUGCAUCUCAUUAGCGGGGCGGGGAGGGGAUUCCUGGGAAAAGGAGCCCCGGGAAUUGGGAAUUCCCUUCCUGGGAGCCCCGGGAUGGGUUCGGGGUCCCCUCAGGGAUCCCAAAAUUCGGGAUUUGGGAUCUGCCGGGAAAGCCCCAAAAUUUGGGAUUUAGGAUCCACCUGGGAAUGCCCCAAACUGGGAUUGGGGAUCCCCUGGGGACCCUCCCAGUUCAUCCCAGUUCAUUCCCAGUUCAUCCCAGUCCAUCCCAGUUCAAUCCCAGUCUCCCCCAGUUCAUCCCAGUUCAAUCCCAGUCCAUCCCAGUUCAAUCCCAGUUCAAUCCCAGUUCAAUCCCAGUUCAUCCCAGUCCAUCCCAGUUCAAUCCCAGUUCAAUCCCAGUUCAAUCCCAGUCCAUCCCAGUUCAUCCCAGUCCAUCCCAGUUCAUCCCACUCCAUCCCAGUCCAUCCCAGUUCCAUCCCAGUCCAUCCCAGUCCAUCCCAGUUCAUCCCAGUCCAUCCCAGUUCAUCCCAGUUCAUCCCAGUUCAAUCCCAGUUCAUCCCAGUUCAUCCCAGUUCAAUCCCAGUCCAUCCCAGUCCAUCCCAG